UACGUAGGGUGCGAGCGUUGUCCGGAAUUAUUGGGCGUAAAGAGCUUGUAGGCGGUUUGUCGCGUCUGCUGUGAAAAUCCGGGGCUCAACCCCGGACUUGCAGUGGGUACGGGCAGACUGGAGUGUGGUAGGGGAGAUUGGAAUUCCUGGUGUAGCGGUGGAAUGCGCAGAUAUCAGGAGGAACACCAAUGGCGAAGGCAGCUCGCUGGGACGGUACUGACGCUGAGACGCGAAAGCGUGGGGAGCAAACAGG
RNAcentral lists this ribosomal RNA (253 nucleotides) under uncultured bacterium. RNAcentral's name for it is "partial 16S ribosomal RNA". It matches the Rfam family "Bacterial small subunit ribosomal RNA", at positions 524 to 776 of the family's 1533-position model. The record is from RNAcentral.